GAUCAUGGCUCAGGAUGAACGCUGGCGGCAUGCCUAAUACAUGCAAGUCGAACGGAGCGAAUAUGGAAGCUUGCUUCCGUAAGAGCUCAGUGGCGAACGGGUGAGUAACACGUAGGUAACCUGCCCAUGUGCCCGGGAUAACUGCUGGAAACGGUAGCUAAAACCGGAUAGGUGAAUAGGAGGCAUCUCUUAUUCAUUAAAGGACCUGCAAAGGUGCGAACAUGGAUGG
Molecule: ribosomal RNA, 229 nt
Filed under: uncultured bacterium
Lineage: Bacteria
Description: partial 16S ribosomal RNA
Rfam family: Bacterial small subunit ribosomal RNA
Source: RNAcentral